UCCCUCAUAGCUCAGUUGGUAAAGAAUCUGCCUGCAAUGCAGGAGACCCGGGUUUGAUUCCUGGGUCGGGAA
This 72-nucleotide transfer RNA is filed under the name Bos taurus (domestic cattle). It matches the Rfam family "tRNA". From Rfam's summary of the family: Transfer RNA (tRNA) molecules are approximately 80 nucleotides in length. Their secondary structure includes four short double-helical elements and three loops (D, anti-codon, and T loops). Lineage: Eukaryota; Metazoa; Chordata; Mammalia; Artiodactyla; Bovidae. The record is from Rfam by way of RNAcentral. RNAcentral also lists the same sequence under 6 other names.